This is a long non-coding RNA of Gorilla gorilla gorilla (western lowland gorilla), 6265 nucleotides long. RefSeq lists it as uncharacterized. The record is from RefSeq and is a predicted model, not a curated record. The transcript has 3 exons. NCBI's taxonomy places the organism in Eukaryota, Metazoa, Chordata, Mammalia, Primates, Hominidae.
ACCUGGUGAACCACAGCAUGAGCCAGAUGUACUUCAUGUUGCCUUAAUCUUGUCCACAGAAACCAACUACGCUGAAACCAAGGGUACUGUUGAACAGCAACACGCACUGGAAGCAAUACAAACAGCAAACUUCAGGAGGGCGUGGGUGUAUGAAGAGGCAAUGAUGAUGUGUGACCACACCGAUUCGGUUCCUCUGAGAACACUUCAUACCACAAACACACUUUAGAGCUCAAGCCGGUCAGCCACUUGCUCCUACUGCUUCAUGCAAAGGAAGUCUGGUAAAGAAGAUGAAGGAACAGGAUGAAAGUCCCAUAGCUGAGAGCCAAGAACAGGACCUGGGGGGUACACCAAUUCCUAGUACACAGUUGACUACAGAACAACAACAACAACAAAAUAAACCAAAUACAAUGGGAAAAACUGAAGAAAAUAGUUAAGUGGGACAAAGGCAACAAAGUAGGCAGAAUCACAAGAAGAAAGAAGACCAAGGGAAAAUUUCAAGAACAUUUUUUAAAGUAAGAAAGCAUGGAAGAAAUGACUGAAUAUUAUAAAUAUAGGAUGGUCCCUGUUUUGCUGGAAUAGCAGUCUGAAACCAUCAUUUAUCUUGGUCUGGGUGGAGCUGAGGUCUGGGAAUUCCCAUAUAAGGUAGUUUGUUCAUGCUUACUUCCUCAAGCACACAUUACACCUCCUCAUCUGAAAAAGGCACUGGAAGAAAAGAUUCUUUGGGAAUGACAUCCACACAUACAUUAAAGGCUGUGGUUUCCACUCCUAAUGGUUAGUAGAUUUGCCAAGACACAGCAUCCUCGCAACCCCCACCCAAAUACGGUUCAGCAUCUAGCAGUCAACACCACAGAGCCUUCCUGUGGUCACUACUGGCAGUGGUGAUAAAGGUCGGUAUGACCUUACUGCUCUCCAUAAAUAGCCCUUCAGUCAGUAAUGUCCUUGCAUGAUAUGGUCACAUUCUUUCCUUUCAAGAGCAGCCCUGCUUUUAUGUAUGGUACCUUCCUUCCACAGAGCUUUCCAUCUCAGGUGAAGCUGCUUUCUUGCCCCACCAUAAUUCCUCUCAAUGACUUCAAAGCAGGGCCUCCACAUUCGAUUUUUUUUUAGGAUGAGUCUGUCUACCUUUUUUUUAGAGCUAUGCUGUCUACUUUGGUAGCCAGUAGUCACAUGUAGCAACUUGAAAUGUGGCUAGUCUGAAUUCAGAUGGACUUUAAAGUACCCACUGAAUUCUCCUGGUAACUUUAAAAUGCUGAUGACAUGAUAUGUAUAUAGCUUGGACAUGAUGACAGUUUGAUAUAUUGGGUUAAAUUAAACAUAUUAUUAAAAUUAAUCUUCCCUAUCUCUUUUUUCCUGUUUUAAAUGGUUACUAGAAAAUCUUAAAACUACACAUGCUGCUUACAUUGUAUUUCUACAGGAUAGCACCAUUCUAGAUAGUACAAUAAGCCCUGCUUAUUGAAUACGCUCAGUAGAAAGAAACCCUGGAAUCCUUUCAUUUCAAACGAUCUCCUGUCGGCCAGGCAACUUUCUUCAUUUGCAGGUGAGAUUCUUCAUCUGUAAUGUAGACAAAAUAAACCCCCCUCACAGACUGGUAAGGACUGAGAACACAAAGAAAGCAUUUUAAGCAUUCAGCAACACUAAAUGUGUUCUCAGUAAAUGUCACUUCCCUUUCUGUGGGUGCAUUCAGUAGCUGGUUUAGUCAUCUUGGGGUUAGUCAUGGAACGUCUGGAUUCCAACCCUCUUUGUUCCUUUUUCUCCACUCUAAUCACUUCCACAGAAUUCACCAUAACUUAGAGGGCAGGGGUCUGUGGUGAACUUUCUCAGCAAAAGCUACCCCUUCCCCGCAGCUGAAUUUUCUACUCCUACCACUUGUCGACCAUAUCCUUCCCACCUCUUCUCUGCUGGUGCAUUCAUUAAUAAAUUAUUAAAAUUAAUCUCAAAAUUCUGGCUGCUGCUCAUUUUCUCCUUUGGGCUGUUACCAGUAGCUCACUGCUAUUGUCUGAAUUUAAAGGGAGCUUUGUUACUAUUCUAGCUAUUUCAUGUGUGAACACUUCCUUCCCCUCAAGUGCAUGGAUAUCCUUUACUUACCACUAGGGUCUCACCAGAUAUGUAAUGACUGAAGGUUCUACAAUGGUCCUAGAAAUAAGUAAAAUAAAACUGAAUGUUGACUUUUAAUUACUGACCAGGCCAAUCAGGAUUACAGGAAUGAAAAGUACCUUUUAUGACUAAGAAAUCACAUCUGACUUGGCAGUCUGGUGUUAUUUCUGGCUGGUUUAUCUGCGGAAAAUUCACUUUAUGAUUUCUUCCCAGCUGUUGCUAGCAGUGUGCUAGGCUGGCAGCCCUAAGAGUUGAAUCACCCCCAUGGAUGAUACUAUUUUCUCCUUCCCCACCCAACCUUUCCCAGAUACUUGGCAUUUUUUAGUAUUAUACAGGUGCUAAUUGUUCUGAAAGUCUGGCUUAAAUUAAAGUUUAUUGUAAAUUGACGUAAUCUAGCAUCUGGAUAUCAUUCUGUGUCUAUGUCCCUUUUCACAAAGACAGCAACUCCAGGUCUGGGUAGGCUUGAGAGUGGGGAUGGAGAAGUAACUCCGGCAAGACCUUUUCCCCAGCAUUCCUUUAUAGAAGGCAGGCGGUGAGAAGGAAAGAAUUAGUGAGGGAAAGAAAAGGCAAUCGAAGGGGAGAAGAUUUAAGAAAGAAAAAAGCAAAAGAAAGAGAAGAAUGGCUUUUUUCACAGUAGAAGUCACACAGUGGGAGGCUUGGAUAAGGUUUAGAUAUGUUUGGAAGUAGAGAAAAACCAUGAGACUACCAGGCACUAAAGUGAAUUUAGUUGCUUUCAAACCCUGAACUCUAGUAAUUCUGGAUCUUAAAGGAGAUAUGCAUAAAUGAUGCAGAGUAAACUAAAAAACAAAGGCAGAGAAUGAUUGGAAGUCCCUCAAAAAAGUUAAACAUAGAAUUACCACAUGACCCAGCAAUUCCAGUUCUGGGUAUAUAUCCAAAAGAACUGAAAACAAGGAUGCAAACAGGUAUGUGUACACCCAUGUUUACAGCACCAUUAUUCACAAUAUCCAAGGUAUGGAAACAACCCAAAUGUCCUCCACAACUGAAUGUUAUAUACAUUUUACUAUUAAUACAAUAAAAAGGGGAACAUUUGUUGUUCACCUAGAUCCCACCAAAUACCAAGCUAGGAUCCUUUUACAUACACUACUCACAGAUUAAAUACUAUUGCCAUUUACAGAUGAGGAAUCUGCAACUCAGAUAUUAAAUAAUUUGUUCAAAAUCACACAAAUGGCAGAAGUAAAAUUUAAACCCAAGGUCUUUCAACUUACACCACAGUAUUUCAAGGAUAAAUAGGCUCAGUGAAUAAAGAACAAGUGAGAAAAGUAUAUGCUCCUUAUGGUCUGAAACUGUUAAAUAAGUGACAAGAAAGACCAUAAACAGCUGAACCCAAAGAACUUGGUAGUCUAAAUGUCUUCCCAGGCUGCAAACAAACUUUCUUUUAGCAUAGCACAUUUUAAAGCCCUAUAAGGGAAUCUCUGCCUGUUCUCCACACACCCCCCUCCCACACACAAAAAUUGGUAAAAGUUGUUUUUCAAUUUUUUUAGAUUCUGUAUUAUAUGUCCCAUCUGGGCUGAUAAAGUAUCCUUUUCUCCCAACAAUAUUAUCAUACAUUUGUGGCAACAUUUGGGGUAUAAAAUACCUCCCCACCUGCCACUUCACUUAUUUUAAUCAAGCACUCUACAGGACAUCAACAUUUCAUCCUGUAACUAUUCUGACAAACUGCGCCUCAGAAGUGACACACCGACUCAGAGCUAAAACACUGCUCCUGUAUACCUCUUUCUCCUGGAACUAAUGGGUCAAUCAACAUAUGGCUAACUUUUGGGCAAGACCCAAUUUAAAAUCACUGUAAGUCCCCGCAUUAAAAAAACAAAACUAGGCUGGGCGUGGUGGCUCACGCCUGUAAUCCAAGCACUUUGGGAGGCCGAGGCACGUGGAUCACCUGAGGUCAGGAGUUCGAGACCAGCCUGGCCAAUAUGGUGAAACUUCGUCUCUACCAAAAAUACAAAAAUUAGCCGGGCAUGGUGGUGCGUGCCUGUAAUUCCAGCUACUCGGGAGGCUGAGACAGAAGAAUCACUUGAACCUGGGAGGCGGAGGUUGCAGUGAGCUGUGAUCACGCCACUGCACUCCAGCCUGGAUGACAGGGCGAGACUCUGUCUCAAAAAAAAAAAAAACAAAAACUAAAAACACUUUUAAAAGUUCCCUUAAAAGGCCAAGCAUGGUGGCUCAAGUCUGUAAUCUCAGCAUGUUGAGAGGCCAAGGCAGGAAGAUCUCUUGAGGCCAGGAGUUCAAGACAAGCCUGGGCAACACAACGAGACUCUGUUUUUAUAAAAAUUUAAAAAAUUAGCCAGGCAUGGUGGUGUGUGCCUGUAGUCACAGCUAUCUGGGAGGCGGGAGCAGGAGAAUUUCUUGAGCCCAGGAGGUCAAGGCUGCAGUGAGCCAUGAUCGUGCCACUGUACUGUAGCCUGGGUGACAGAGCAAGACCUUGUCAAUCAAUCAAUUUUUUUUAAAAAAAAGUUUCACUGAAGGCUUCCUCUUUUUUCUGGGAACUUGUGGAACUACUGACAUCAAGAAACUAUCAAUGAGACUUCAGACUCCUUCCCACGCCUCUGACAAUGCCCAGGUUCAGGCCCCACCGCAUCAUUUGCUCAGUCCUUUGCUACAGGAUGUUCACACAUCUGGCAUUACCCAUGGAAACCAUUUCUCAGUCACCUUUGUGUCCCCAGAACCUAACACAGUGCUUAGCAUGGGGCAACCACUCAAAUGUCAACUGAAUGAAAGACCCACUGACACAUCCUUUCCUAUGGUAUUGCUAUCUUGCUCUUUAGUCCUUCUAAUCCAUUCUCUACACUGUAAUAUUAGCAAACACUUCACUGCAACAUCACAGAUGCUUCCCUAAUGUCCCCAAACUUUACACUGCCCUCAAGACCAAUACUCCACAUACACCCUCCCUCCCUGCCAUUCUUAUCCUUCAAACAUUCCAGCACAGUAGAUAAUUUUUGAAUUUCUUUCAUUCAUUCAACAUUUAUUUACUGAGCACUUACUGCUCUGGGCACUGGGAAUACAGAGGUGAACAAGAGGAAACAAAGCCCCUGUUUUAACAAAUCUUCCAGGCUAAAGCGGAAAACACAGCACAGAAAGGAAUAGGGCAGGGGGUAAAUCCAGAAAGCACUUGCAGCCCAGAAUAAAAACUGGAUGUUAUUCUAGGUGAGAUGGAAAGGCAAUGGAGGACUCUGAAGAGAGAAGUAACACUGACCUGCAAACCUUUGCUCAAGCUGUUGCCAACUGUGCCUAGAACAACACUCUUUUCCAUCAUUUGUCAAAUUCUUCAAAGCCCAACUCAAAAGUCACUACCUCCAUGGUGCCAUCUCUUAGAAUUGAAGGGGGUUCCCCGCUCUUUUUGGUUAGCUUCAAAAACUUGACACUACCUGUGAUGGCCUGAUGUUUAGUUAUUUUUGUAUAUUUUUUAAACUACCACCAAGUGUUUAUGUUCAUUCAGAAUAUUUUAUUCUAUUUUCAUUCUAUCAGCUAUGAAAAGUGCCUUGUUGUUUGCAAACUAAAAAGCAUGUACCCUUUUUAUCAACUAAAAGACCAAAUUAAAAUGAUCAUCCUCUUUUUAAUGUUUUCUUUCUUAUCCAUGAAAAAUACUUGUGUUCUCCUGUUCAUUAUAACUAUUCCUUAUUUCCUGAUUAUGUAUGUGAAUGUACAUAUAUACACAUGUGUACAUACACACAACAUAUAUCUAUAUAAGAGACUGCCUUACACAUGCAAUCGGUAUCACUCUUAAUGUUCUUGAAGGUUAACUGUAAAAUCAAUGCUUUUGCAAAUACAUUUAAAUCUCUAGGAAGUCCACUGUAUAAGGCAAGUCAUGUAGUAAAGCAAAAGAUUCUUUUGUGGGUAAAUAAUCACCCCUUAAUAAAUGUUUUCCAAAUGUAGGUCUGAGGCAUUACAGUUCCUUUAAGAGUGGCCUGCUGGGGGAAAUUCCACCCAACAGCAACAGAAUACAUAUUCUUCUCAAGUGCACAUGGAACAUUCUCCAGGACAGGUCAAGAAGGCUGAAAUUACAUCACGUAUCUUUUCUGAUCACAAUGGUAUGAAACUAGAAUAGUUUCUACAGUAACAGGAGGACAUGGAACAUUAACAAAUAUGUGGAAGUUAAACAAUAUGCUCCUAAACAACUAUCGAGAUAAAGAAAAAAUUAAAGGGGAAAUUAAAGAAG